Molecule: non-coding RNA, 46 nt
Filed under: Schistosoma margrebowiei
Lineage: Eukaryota; Metazoa; Platyhelminthes; Trematoda; Strigeidida; Schistosomatidae
Source: RNAcentral
GUAUUGCUGAAGAGUCUCACAAUAAGACGAAACAGCCGUUCAGUGC